Molecule: ribosomal RNA, 460 nt
Filed under: uncultured bacterium
Lineage: Bacteria
Description: partial 16S ribosomal RNA
Rfam family: Bacterial small subunit ribosomal RNA
Source: RNAcentral
CCUACGGGAGGCAGCAGUGAGGAAUAUUGGUCAAUGGGCGCGAGUCUGAACCAGCCAAGUAGCGUGAAGGAUGACUGCCCUACGGGUUGUAAACUUUAUCUAUAAAGGAAUAAAGUGAGGCACGUGUGCCUUUUUGUACGUACUUUAUGAUUAAGGCUCGGCUAACUCCGUGCCAGCAGCCGCGGUAAUACGGAGGUUCCGAGCGUUAUCCGGAUUUAUUGGGUUUAAAGGGAGCGUAGAUGGGUUGGUAAGUCAGUUGUGAAAGUUUGCGGCUCAACCGUAAAAUUGCAAUUGAUACUGGCAGUCUUGAGUACAGUUGAGGUAGGCGGAAUUCGUGGUGUAGCGGUGAAAUGCUUAGAUAUCACGAAGAACUCCGAUUGCGAAGGCAGCUUACUAGACUGCCACUGACAUUGAUGCUCGAAAGUGUGGGUAUCAAACAGGAUUAGAUACCCGUGUAGUC